RNAcentral lists this microRNA (37 nucleotides) under Vombatus ursinus (common wombat). RNAcentral describes it as "miRNA (ENSVURG00010007773.1)". The record is from RNAcentral. Lineage: Eukaryota; Metazoa; Chordata; Mammalia; Diprotodontia; Vombatidae.
CUUGGAACAUAGUAAGCACUCAGUAAAUACUUGUUGA